RNAcentral lists this long non-coding RNA (3615 nucleotides) under Mus musculus (house mouse). RNAcentral describes it as "long non-coding RNA chr5:8669519-8673134". Lineage: Eukaryota; Metazoa; Chordata; Mammalia; Rodentia; Muridae. The record is from RNAcentral.
AAGGGUUCUAAUGCGUUUCCUUUUUACUUAAGGGAAACUUUGGAGUAAAAACUAAGCUGUUUCUUAUAUGCAUACCAUUUAUGGUAUGACUCUCUUAUUUAUGAUCUAAUUACAGACAUCUGCUCCCAUUCUUAUUAUAGUGUUUGUUCUUUAAUAUAUACCAAGCUUGUGUCUACUUAAGCAUCUUUGCAUGUAUGCUUUCUACUUGAAUGCAUGACUUAGAGAUCCCCACAACAAAAGCUGCAUCCUUCCUGUUACUGAGGUUUCAUCUCAGAAAGAUGUUCCCUGACCUGCCUGUCUAAACCCACUGGCCCUAUCAGUCACCUGAAGUUAUAUCCUGUAACUGCUUAGCCGCUUCCCCACUGCUGAUGUUUCUCUUUUUCCUGAAUGUGUGCUCACAAGAGUGGAGUGUUUUAAUGUUUUGCUCACUGUUGUUCCUCAGGAGUCUAGAAGAGUGCUCAGAGCCUUAGUAGGUUCCUAGACACUGGGUGGAUAGUGACCAUAUCCAUUCCUAUUCCCAACUGCAUGCACUCUAAGCAUUCUAAGGACAGGUAGCCUGUGUUACCCACCAUCAUUGCCAGUACUUAGAGCCAAACAUGAAUCUCAUUAGCUCUUUAAACAAACUUAAAAUGUUGAAUGAGUGAAUGAAUUCUCUAACUCAGUGGCUCUAGUGAAGUCAUAUUUCUAUUCAUGCCAUGAAUAUUAUCUAAAGGGCUUUUCUGCCUGUACUUUCCACUUCUUCCCUGGCACGAUUCACCUUUAGCUUUCAAUACCAGUUUGUUUCGUUCUGUGUUCUUGGUUUACUUUCUCUGUCCUUUCUACCAGUCUCUAACCAAAUAGUUUCCAUUUCCUUUUAUGUUAAAGGCCUUCAACUAUAACUAGUUAAGUUAUAUGCUUAUACAGUCUUAUGCUGUACCUGAUAUGUUGUUACAACUUUGCCUUCUUCUUCUUUGACUAUGAGAGUCUGAAAAUUCUUAGUUAUGUUUGCAAACCAAUAAUAGUAAUGGAUAUUUCAUGUUUCAUACUACCUUCUUGAUAAAAGUUUUCUGCAUUGCUUUGUAAUCUUUGUAACAGCUGUGUUGAUUUUUUUAAAACAUUUUAUAAAUACCAAAACUGAGGCUCAAUUUUUUUUAGUAAUAAUAAAUUACAUCAUCUCUCCCAUUCUCUUUCUAGUUCUAUAAGCCACCCUCUUCCAAGUUCCUGGCCUCUUUUUACUUAUAUAUGCAUCAACAUAUAAACACAACCUGCUGCAUCCAUGUAGCCUUGUUUGUAUGCGUAUCAUUUCAGGACUGACUGCUUGGUGUUAGCUAACCCAUCAGGGGCUCAUCCUUGAGGAGACUAAUUCUCCCUCUCUCAGCAGUUCUUGGUUGUCUGUAGUUCUGUUUUCUGGGGGUGAGGCUCAAUGAGACCCCCCUCCCCCACAUCCAGUUUAGCAUGUCUAUUAGUGUUGCCCUUCUUCAGGUUUUGUGUAGACAAGUCUUAUUGAGAUAUCAUGAGUAAAAGUUCCCUGUAAUUUCUAGGAGGCACAUUCUCACAACAGACUUCUUGGUCCUCUGGCUCUUCUGCCCCAUCUUUUGUAAUGUUCCCUGAGAGACCCUCUACUUGGCCACACCAGCCUCUUUCCUAAUAAAUUAUAAAGUUGAGUCAUUUGGUGUCCACUUUCAUCCUGCUCACUGUUAUGUGACCACUUUCCUCAAAUCUCAUCCUUUCUUUCACAAGGUCACAAAGAAAUGAGAAAGCCAACUCCUCUUUCUAUCUCUGUUGCUAGAAAUAUAUCAAUAUCUGUGUUCAUUCUUCGCUCAUUCCUGUCUGAGAUGAAUAGAAAUACUUCUCUCUGUUUUGGAAACCAUCUUCUCUUUGCCAAGUUUUACUAUGUAAAAUCUCAAACAAGAAAGAAUAGAAAACAACACUCAUAAAUACAUCAUGUAUGGCUAAUAAUUACUAACAUGUUACCAUGUCAUGUUUCAGCUACAUCUACAAGUUUCAAGGUAUUUUAUAUAUAGCCAUGUCACUUUAUUAAUUUCAAAGGCUUUUCUGUAAAACAUUUCCUAUAAAAUAUAUUUACCCUAUUUAUCAAGACAUUUUCUUAAUAUUAUAUUUUUUACAUUCAAUUUCCCAAAUUAUCUAAAAAAUUGUGUUUUGCAGUUGGUUGGUUUAAAAUAAGACAACUGGGAAGAGUGUUCAUUGAUUUCUCUUUAGAAUGGUCUGAAAGAAAUGGACAAGAAUGUUCUACCUGAUACUCCGGUUAUGCCAUUUCCUUGGAACAUCAUUACAUUUAGUGUUCCAUGCCUAGCCUUUUAUAUGUAGAAGUUACAUCUAAAUGUUUUAUUGCAUUUAGAUGAAACACUUUUAGUAAAGAAACAACAACAAACAAACAAACAACAAACCUCUAAAAACAGCAAAUGUCAUGGUAUUUCCCCAUUUAUUUAUGGUGUUCUUUGAUCACUUGUUUAAGACAAUGACAACUUUCUAUACCAUUCCCUAGCAGUGAAAAGGAGUUACAGGGCAUUGUGAGACCAUAUUGCUUCACUUCCUAGUUUUGUUUCCUACAGAUGAUACCCUUUCCCAGGUUACUGAAAUAAUUACUUCCUUUAUUUUGUAGGCGAUUAUCCCAGCUUACUUCCUAUGUUUCUACCAUCUGACUCUUUGCCUGGCUUACCUGUGGGCAUAGAACAUUGUGAAUGAAAUGGCCUCAUUGGCCUUGCACCACAACCUGUUAGUUACUUUUUCUCGUCCUCUUUUAUCUCAAGGUCUAGAAAAGUCAACAUUCUAUCCUUGCUGCGUUGUGUCCAGAUUUGGCUUUACUCCACACACUUCUUUACUCACUUUUUAUGAUCUAAUCCAUUCCCAUGACUGCCGCUAUAAAACGGAUGUUGAGUUUCUAACAUCCUGGGUGGCACUUCCUGUACAAAAGUGCAAACACUCAAGAGACUUCUGUGCUCUUCAUCCUUUCAAGCACCCGACUCUUCCAGUUUUCCCAUCUCCAUGGACAGUACCUAUUGGUAGUUAAUAUACUUUAUUUUUGUGCUUUCAUGUAUCAAAACUCUAACUUGUGAAACUUGCGUCUUCUCAAAGUCCAUUUGGAUCUUUCUUGCUUCUGCUUGCUUUUCCUCCUGGCUAGGAUGUCUUCCACCUUGCUUCUGAACACUUGUCUUCCUUCAAAACCAGGAGGAAGCAUCACUCCUGUAUGACUGACUUCCACAAGGAGGUAAUGAUUGUUGGCUCCAUUUUAUAGCUGUUCUUUGUAAUCGCUGCCAGAAGAGGCAGUGUGCACACUGCCUGGACUAUUUUUUCCCCUCCCUCUGCUCUUUAAGCUUUCUGAAAUUAUGUUUCUUUGGUAUUUUUCUGCAGCUUGUAUCUGUUGUUCAGUUAAACAGUCAGGAAGUAUUUGCAUGUAUUGACCUCUCCACUUCUUUUGAUUUUAGCCAGUGAGAAGUUCUGGGGGGUGAAAUAUUGGUGAUGGUGGUGAUAAGUGAUAUUUCUCCCUAUCAAUUGUCUUUUCUUCCUAUGCCAAAGAAUCUGAGUGUUGGUGUAUUUGAUAGAUAUUUUAAAAGAAGAUAAUUUCUGCCUAUUUCUUUCUCUCUCCAAUUUUUAAGGAAGAAGUCAGUUAGUUAG